This is a long non-coding RNA of Eriocheir sinensis (Chinese mitten crab), 1512 nucleotides long. RefSeq lists it as uncharacterized. The record is from RefSeq and is a predicted model, not a curated record. The transcript has 2 exons. NCBI's taxonomy places the organism in Eukaryota, Metazoa, Arthropoda, Malacostraca, Decapoda, Varunidae.
CCUGGCCGAAACACUUCCUCCUCCUCCUCCUCCUCUAUCAUCUUACUCUUCUUCCUCCUCCUUCUCCUCCUCCUCUUAACUCUUCACCAAUGAGAUCCUUCGCUUCUCCAGGUAACCCAACUCCUCCUCCUCCUCCUUCUCCUCCUCCUCUUCUACCGAUGGCCCUACCAGUUCCUUCCUCCUCCCCCCUCCCUCCCUUAGUACCCAUCCUCGCUGCGUAUAUUAACAAGUGGUCGGGCGAGAGGCGGUCAGACACACGCUGACUUGGCUCUGAGGUUACCUGCCCGCACCUGAGCUUGUUAAUAUACUCCUCUUAUUACUACGGACAGUCGCCGAGAUGAAAUUCGCUGCCGUAUUUGCUGUUCUCUGCCUGCUGGUCGGGGCAUCCAUCGCCCUCCCAAUGCCUUACCCCAAUGCCGAUCCCCAAUUUGGCUUCGGCGGCGGACAUGGCGGCGGCGGCUUCCUCGGAGGACUCCUGAGCCGCCUUCCUCACGUCCACGGCCACGUCCACCAUGGCGACCACACCCACCACUACACACGUUACCCAGGGGGCUUUACCACCGAACAAGUGGAAUACAACCCCUACGGACACGGACACGGACACUUCGGGAGAUAGACACUGAAGAUGGAUGGUCUAACUGAGGACGUUCUUCUUUGGUUCUUGGUCCGCUGGAUUCUUCGUCUGUCUCUCUGUUUUCCGUUUUCUAUGUGUUAUCUGGUGUUCUUCAUAGCCACGGACACGGACAAGGGAGAUGGGAUGGUCUGAAAAUGUCCUUCUUUGGUUCUUGGUCCAUUGGAUUCCUCGUGUCUCUCUGUUUUCCGUUUUUUCUGUGUGAUCUGGUGUUCAUUGUAGCCACGGACACGGACAAGGAAGAUGGGAUGGUCAAGGAUGCUGGGGAAUGUCCGUUUUGAGGCAUAUGUACGUCCUUUCUUGGUCCGUGGUCCGUUCUCCAUCUCUCCUCUUCGUUUUCUGUUAUCUGGUUUUCUUUUGACCUUUCCAUCCAUUAUUUCUCUAAGUCAUCCAUCCAUCUCCCUUUUUCUCUCCGUUUUCUGUUAUCUGAUUUUCUUGACCUUUCCAUCCAUUAUUUCUCUAAGUCAUCCAUCCAUCUCGAUCCCAGUUAUCUAUUUUAGCCUUGCAUCCAAUUCUGUUAUUUGAGUUCGUUGAUUGACUUUCUCAUGUUAUCUUAUCCUGUGUUAUUUUUUUACCAAGUCAUCCAUUUUGUCAUAUAUAUAUAGUUUCUCUGUUUAAUUGUUGUGUAUCCAUCUGUCUGUGUGUGUGUCUCUGUCUACCUAACCGACAAUACGUCUAUUCGAUCCUGUCUUUCCUACUCUCCCUCUUUGGCUGUGAACUAUAUAGGCCUACUGUCAAAACCCACCUUCAGUUUCUCUAAUUUCGUUUUGUAUUACGACUAUUUAUAUACUUCGAUCUAUACAACACAUCAUUCACGUGAGACUGUAUAUUCAUUUUCUUCGUCAACUGACAUCUAUUCCAUUAAAAGGUUGUGAAUGUUA